GCCCUUGAAAUAAUCAAAGGUGCAACCUGCCCAAUGGUUUAUAAGUAAAAUAAAUAAUAAUAUUUAAAGUAAACUUAAAGGACGCGGUAUCUUGACUGUGAUAAUGUAGCAUAAUCACUCGCCAUUUAAUUGAUGGAUAGUAUGAAUGGUUAAACGAAUAUAACACUGUCUCAAAUAAAGACCUUAUGAAAUUAAAAUAAUAGUAAAGAUGCUAUUUAAAACUGUAAGACGAGAAGACCCUAUAGAGCUUAACUAUAACUCUUUAAAAUAUUAUUAAAUUGAUUUAAUGUUAUAAAGAGAUAGGUAGUUUAGUUGGGGCGACUACUUUCUAUAUACAACGAAAGCAAACAAAAAUUAAUUAAUUAAUUUACUGUAUAACUUAUAAGUUUAACAGUUAUAAAAAUAGGUAAUAAUGACCCGUUAUAAAUUAAAAUAAAUUAUAACGAUCAAUAAAUAAAAGCUACCUUAGGGAUAACAGGAUAAUCUUGUUUUAGAGAUCUUAUCGAAAACAAGGUUUGUCACCUCUAUGUUGAAUUAAGAUAUCCUAAAAAUGUAGAAGUUUUUAAGGGUAGGUCUGUUCGACCUAUAAAAUCUU
RNAcentral lists this ribosomal RNA (595 nucleotides) under Cladocoryne floccosa. RNAcentral describes it as "partial 16S ribosomal RNA". It matches the Rfam family "Bacterial large subunit ribosomal RNA", at positions 1833 to 2597 of the family's 2925-position model. Lineage: Eukaryota; Metazoa; Cnidaria; Hydrozoa; Anthoathecata; Cladocorynidae. The record is from RNAcentral.